RNAcentral lists this long non-coding RNA (395 nucleotides) under Brassica napus (rape). RNAcentral describes it as "long non-coding RNA (BNAP_LNC008256)". The record is from RNAcentral. Lineage: Eukaryota; Viridiplantae; Streptophyta; Magnoliopsida; Brassicales; Brassicaceae.
GAGUUUUAAUGUAACAUAUAUUCAUGUUUUAAAUUCAAAAAUAUCAUUUGUGUUGGUGAGAGUAUCGAGCUUUAAAAUGAUUAACCAUGAUGGAUUAGUGUUGGUUUUUUUCUUUUUGCUUACUAAUUAUAGAUUCAAAUCUCCCUAACAUAAGCUGUUAACAUAUAAGACUGAAAUUGCAAAUAACUAAACAAAUUCGUUACGUCCGCUAAAGAAAAUACAUGGUAUUUGAUAAAUGUUUUGAAUAUUCUCAAAAUAUUAAAAAGUUUUGAACUAUCCUUUUUGGACCGGUAAUCUUCAGAAUAGUUCAUCCAGUCAACAGAAACAUAUUGUAAAAUAAUAUAAGCAACUUUUGUUUAAGAAAACUCAUCAUUUCAUGGCGACCACUGGGUCCA